This 430-nucleotide ribosomal RNA is filed under the name Bacteroidota bacterium. RNAcentral's name for it is "Bacteroidetes bacterium partial 16S ribosomal RNA". It matches the Rfam family "Bacterial small subunit ribosomal RNA", at positions 355 to 776 of the family's 1533-position model. The record is from RNAcentral. Lineage: Bacteria; Pseudomonadati; Bacteroidota.
UAGGGAAUCUUCGGCAAUGGGGGGAACCCUGACCGAGCAACGCCGCGUGAGUGAAGAAGGUUUUCGGAUCGUAAAGCUCUGUUGUUAAGGAAGAACGAGUGUGAGAAUGGAAAGUUCAUACUGUGACGGUACUUAACCAGAAAGGGACGGCUAACUACGUGCCAGCAGCCGCGGUAAUACGUAGGUCCCGAGCGUUGUCCGGAUUUAUUGGGCGUAAAGCGAGCGCAGGCGGUCAAUUAAGUCUGAUGUGAAAGCCCCCGGCUCAACCGGGGAGGGUCAUUGGAAACUGGUUGACUUGAGUGCAGAAGAGGAGAGUGGAAUUCCAUGUGUAGCGGUGAAAUGCGUAGAUAUAUGGAGGAACACCAGUGGCGAAGGCGGCUCUCUGGUCUGUAACUGACGCUGAGGCUCGAAAGCGUGGGGAGCGAACAGG